Molecule: ribosomal RNA, 460 nt
Filed under: uncultured bacterium
Lineage: Bacteria
Description: partial 16S ribosomal RNA
Rfam family: Bacterial small subunit ribosomal RNA
Source: RNAcentral
CCUACGGGAGACAGCAGUGAGGAAUAUUGGUCAAUGGACGAGAGUCUGAACGAGCCAAGUAGCGUGAAGGAUGACUGCCCUAGGGGUUGAAAACUUCGUUUAUAUGGGAAUAAAAUGUUCCAAGUGUGGGAUUUUGUAUGUACCAUAUGAAAAAGGAAAGGCAAACACCGUGCCAGCAGCCGCGGUAAUACGGAGGAUCCGAGCUUUGUCCGGAUUUGUGGGGUUGAAGGGGAACGUAGUGGGAUUGUUAAGUCAGUUGUGAAAGUUUGCGGCUCAACCGUAAAAUUGCAGUUGAAACGGGCAGUCUUGAGUACAGUAGAGGUGAGCGGAAUUCGUGGUGUAGCGGUGAAAUGCUUAGAUAUCACGAAGAACUCCGAUUGCGAAGGCAGUUCACUGGACUGCAACUGACACUGAGGCUCGAAAGUGUGGGGAGCAAACAGGAUUAGAUACCCUUGUAGUC